UACGGGGGGAGCAAGCGUUGUUCGGAUUUGCUGGGCGUAAAGGGCGCGUAGGCGGUCAGCACAAGUCAGUUGUGAAAUCUCCGGGCUUAACUCGGAAAGGUCAACUGAUACUGUGCGACUAGAGUGCAGAAGGGGCAACUGGAAUUCUCGGUGUAGCGGUGAAAUGCGUAGAGAUCUGGAGGACCACCAAAGGCGAAGGCAGUGUCCUGGGAGGCACCUGACGCUCAGGCGCGAAAGCCAGGGGAGCGAACGGG
Molecule: ribosomal RNA, 254 nt
Filed under: uncultured bacterium
Lineage: Bacteria
Description: partial 16S ribosomal RNA
Rfam family: Bacterial small subunit ribosomal RNA
Source: RNAcentral